GGUAGUUCUCAGGUGAUGCAUCCCAGAAUCAGGCUUCCUCCUCUCUGGUUCUGGGUGCGUCACUUGAAAACCACA
Non-coding RNA from Myotis davidii, 75 nucleotides. The record is from Rfam. NCBI's taxonomy places the organism in Eukaryota, Metazoa, Chordata, Mammalia, Chiroptera, Vespertilionidae.